UAAGUACUCCCUCCGUUCGGAAUUACUUGUCUCGGAAAUGGAUGUAUCUAGAACUAAAAGUCUAAAAUACAUCUAGAUACAUCCAUUUCUACGACAAGUAAUUCCGAACGGAGGGAGUAACAU
This is a non-coding RNA of Triticum aestivum (bread wheat), 123 nucleotides long. The record is from Rfam. NCBI's taxonomy places the organism in Eukaryota, Viridiplantae, Streptophyta, Magnoliopsida, Poales, Poaceae.